Molecule: long non-coding RNA, 372 nt
Organism: Motacilla alba alba
Lineage: Eukaryota; Metazoa; Chordata; Aves; Passeriformes; Motacillidae
Exons: 3
Source: RefSeq, a predicted model, not a curated record
GAGUAGAAAGAAGGCAUUGGUUUUCAUAAUGUGCAUGAACUUGGGCUUCAAUGCAAAAUUCAUAAAGAAGAUACAAACGAAUCAUUGCUACUAAAUAAGGGGAACUCGAGGUGUUCUGUAGCAGUAUGAGAUAUUGACCUCAACACAUUUUAGACUCAGCCCUUCCCUGUAGGGUUGUAAUGAGGACUCAGAGUCUGACCUGCUGAUCAGUCAGAAGCAACAACAACUGAAAAACCUGCAGUACCAGUGUUCGUAUCCCCAUGGCUCAGCUUGCAUCACUGACACACAGAGAGGCAUAUUUCAGCCAGAAAGACAAAAGCACAUGCAGAGAAGCAAUCCUUUCCUGAUGACAUUGGCUACCUGGAAGCUGGC